UCAAUCAAGCAUAUUUAAGAAAUAAAUUGGUUUGCCUCCAGGUAGCAGUCUUCAUUAAUGCAACUAACAGGAAAUAAGACUAUAAAACACUAGACAAUUAAAAUUUAGGAACGUUUUCUGCUUUUUGAACAACUGUAUGCUAUGGCUACUUAAAAACACUUUAAACAAUCACAUCCGAAAUCUUAUUACUUAUCUCAACUGAAGCAGUAAGUGCACAAUUUCAAAAAUGGCCCUACUGCAGAACGUCACAGCUAAGUUUUAAUCACAUGCGGAGAAGGCUGUGGACCAUGGGGAGAGGGCCGGGUGCUUCUCAGCUCACACUCUGGGGUAGGUGAUUAACACAAAGGCUGAGGGGCAUCCAGUUUGGCUCUGGGUUCAUUUACAUGAGGAGGUUGGAACAGCAACUGCUGACACCAAUACCCAGCAUAGUGCAAAGCUGAGGGACAGAAAUAUCGAGUCAUCUGGCCAAAACAAAAGACAAACUAGCACCAGAGACCGCAGCCAACCCAGGCUAAUGCCAUAUCUUUGCUCAGUCCUGGGUGUGUGAAAGAGCCCUGAUUUGGUUCUGAAACCCCCCAUAAUCUUGACCUCCUCCCACCCAUCUCCCUUACCCCAUUUUUUCCCGCUCUCAUUGACUUCUUUGCUGUCCCCACAACUGGCCAGGCUCCCACCUCAGGGCCUGGCUCUGUGCCAUCCACUUGCAAUGUUCUCAGGGCCCUCCACGCCUUCUGCAGCUCCUUGCUCAAUUGGCCCCUUCUCAUUGACUCUUCUUGACCUCCCCACUUGAAACUUCAAAUCUCCCCAAUCCUGCUCCUUGUUCCCCAGGUGCCCUGGGUCUGGAAAAUGCUAUGUGGGAGUGGAUGCUUCUAGAAGCGUACGGGCCAAGGCUCAUGGCUGGAUAAGCAUCUGAGGUGCCACAGCCCAAAUGGACAUUUCCUGACCUUGUUAUAUGAAUUAAACUUUCAAAAAGUUAUUAUGAUAUAACUUACAUCUUACAGAUGUAAGAUGAAGACUUACAUCUGCUGUGAGUGCACAGCUCCAAAGACUUACAGAUGGAACUCGCCAGCCCCCAGAUCAUGAAGCAGAACAUGCCCAGGCCCUCCCAGCACUGCCCCUGCAACCACGGCCUGACUCUGUAGGCCAGCCUCCUGUGCUUUUUACACAGAGGGAAUGAUAACCUCCUCAGUUUUUUAAAAUGAACUUUUACUUUUACUCUUUGAAUGACUUUAAAUUUACAGAAAAAUUAAACAGAUACGAUAGAGUUCGCCUGUGCUUUCCAUCCAACUCUCCUUAAGAAUGACAUUUUGCAAACCCCGUCUCUACUAAAAAUACAAAAAAUUAGCCGGGCGGGGUGGCGGGCGCCUGUAGUCCCAGCUACUCAGGAGGUUGAGGCAGCAGAAUGGCAGGAACCUGGCAGGCGGAGCUUGCAGUGAGCUGAGAUCACGCCACUGCACUCCAGCUUGGACAACAGAGCGAGACUCCGUCUCAAAAAAAAAAAAAAAGAAUGACAUUCUGCAUAACCCUGGCACAUCUGUCAAAACUAGAAAUUUAGGCCAGGCAUGGUGGCUCAUGCCUGUAUCCCAGCAUUUUGGGAGGCCAAGGUGGGAGGAUUAUUUGAGGCCAGGAGUUCAAGACCAACCUGGGCAACACAGCGAGACCCCAUCUCUACAAAACAUACUAAAAAAAAAACCCCAAAACAAUACAAUCAGCUGGGCAUGGUGGUGCGUGCCUGUGGUCCCAACUACUCAGGAGGCUGGGGUGGGAGGAUUCCUCGAGCCCAGGAAGUCAAGGCUGCAGUGAGCUACAACUGCACCACUGCACUGAGCUACAACUGCACCACUGCACUGCAGUCCGGGUGACAGAGCAAGACCCGGUCUCAAAAAAACAAAGAGGAAAGGAAAAGGAAAAAGGAAAGGAAAGAAAAGGAAAAAAGAAGCAAACGGAGAAUGAGGCAUGAGCCUCUCGUGGGAUUUAUUCCUGCUGUUUACGGCUGGAAACCCAAGGGCAACACUGUCCAGGGAAACACUGAGGCCCAGCUGACGACACGUGCUGGGCUCCAGAGUCUGCACCUUCACCUCAAAGAGGCUUUAGCCUCUCAUCUCUCUCCUCUUCUCAUCCAGGCUGUCUCUACACCAGCAGCGCUCAACCAAGAUGCUUCUGCCCUCACCAUCAAGAGACAGGUAGCCGUGCCUGGGGACACU
RNAcentral lists this long non-coding RNA (2201 nucleotides) under Homo sapiens (human). RNAcentral describes it as "non-protein coding lnc-TNFRSF13B-6:1". Lineage: Eukaryota; Metazoa; Chordata; Mammalia; Primates; Hominidae. The record is from RNAcentral.